UUUUCUUCCUCUUCCUCAAUUCAUCACUCACUUUCUCUCUCUAUAUCUCCUUCUCUCUCUACCUUCUGUAACAUAUUAGACACCGCCACCACCAGCCCCCGCCAUUACCACUCCCUCACCACCACCACCGCCGCCCUCAUUACCACCCGCACCACCACCAUAGUCGCCGCCGCCGCCAUUACCACCACCACAGACACCAUCUCUUAGUCGGCCUCGCUUAGAUCUGAAAAGAGCCAUCAAACCUACCUUAGUUUCAUUGACCUGUAUCCAAAUGGCAAGAGGGUAUAGAUGACGGCGACACAACUUGGGCUUCUUAUUUCGAUUCAGGUGGUGGCGAUUGGUGGUGAUGGCGGUGGGUGGUCGCCGGCGGUGAUGAUGGGGCUGGGUAGUGUUGAGAGAGAAGAGGAGAGAGUGCAGGGUAGUGAGAGAGAGAAGUGAUGAUUGUUUUGUUAUUUUUU
RNAcentral lists this long non-coding RNA (458 nucleotides) under Helianthus annuus (common sunflower). Lineage: Eukaryota; Viridiplantae; Streptophyta; Magnoliopsida; Asterales; Asteraceae. The record is from RNAcentral.